Molecule: non-coding RNA, 190 nt
Filed under: Ralstonia pickettii OR214
Lineage: Bacteria; Pseudomonadati; Pseudomonadota; Betaproteobacteria; Burkholderiales; Burkholderiaceae
Description: RT-15 RNA
Rfam family: RT-15 RNA
About the family: Proteobacteria.
Source: Rfam by way of RNAcentral
CGUCGCCCGUUGCAUCACCGUCAAGGCGGUAAUGCCUGUGCGAAUUUAAUCUGGUCGUGCCGCUGGCCCACAAGGUCACCGCAAUGCGCACCACGGAUACCGCCGGAUGUUUCCGGAACCGGUCCGGCGCAGUUUCCACGCUGAUCGGCAAAUGCCUUCGGCGAGGCGACGUAGAUAGCACGAUGAAACG